CACCGCCCGUCACAUCACGAAAUGGGUUGUACUAGAAGUCUGCGGCCUGACCCGCAAGGGGAGGAGCGGCCCAAGGUAUGACUCAUGAUUGGGGUG
This 96-nucleotide ribosomal RNA is filed under the name uncultured bacterium. RNAcentral's name for it is "partial 16S ribosomal RNA". The record is from RNAcentral.